UGGACUCUGAGGAGAAACACAAGCAAGGGAAACAGGACUCUGUGUGGAGAUGAGUUUGGAAGAUUAGACGGUAUUUUAUGCAUCAUCAACCACAUCGUCCCUUUGGACAGUGGAGUUUACUGGUGUGAGUCCAGAGAGGGUCCCAUCAGUAACAUGGUUAACCUGACAGUCACUGACCAUAAAUUCAUCACAGCUGAGUCUGGACAGGACGUCACUCUGACAUGUCGAGCUCCAAACAACAAGAUCAAAUUUUUAAAGUGGACAAAAGCUUACCUGCAGUCAGAAGUUGUCAUUUUGCACUGGGAUGGUCACUUUGAUCCAUUUUAUCAGCAUCCAUCUUUUAAGAACCGGGUGGAUCUGCAGGACAGACAGAAUGUGACGAUUAAUGACAUACGAGUGUUGAGCUGAUGUGAGAGAAACACGCUUAUGGGAUCUCAGCAGCAUCUACCUGAGUGUUGUUGAUCCUCCAGAGAAACACACCACCACACCUCCACCUACAUUGAGCAGCUCACCUCCACCUACAUCCACACCUCCACCUGGUUCCACCUCCAUCACUCUUCCUCCAUCACUCUCUACUCCUCCUCUCUCUGUGCUGUUGCCUGUUGGAUCAGUCUAUGUUGUGGUUCUACUGGUGUUACUGGUUCUGCGGGUGAGACGUUGUGUUCACAGGAAACUUGAAGAGACUGAUUCAGCUGUGGUCUACUCAGCAGUGAGAACUGAAGACAUCAGUCAUGGACAAAGAACCAUGAGAACAAGGAGGCCCAGGUACAGCUGCUCUUUAUCUGUGACUGUGGACAGAGACAAGCUAGCUGCUCGCCCUGUUUACAGCCAUCAUGCUAAGCUAAGCUAACCAAACUACAUCGUGACUCAAGCCCAGAGCUCAGACAUCAAACUUCUCAUCUUUCUGUCCAAAAACAAAACAAAAAAAAAGAUUCCUUGUAAAGUUGAGCUUUUCCUUAAACUGUCCGUUAUAGCGUGGUCUUCCUACUUAUCUUGACACAAUGCUUUAAGUCAACAGAUUGUAUUCAACUGAAUUCUGUCAUCUCACUUCUCCCAAUUCAGAUGCACUAUCCUAGCUAGUGAC
Molecule: long non-coding RNA, 1084 nt
Organism: Oreochromis aureus
Lineage: Eukaryota; Metazoa; Chordata; Actinopteri; Cichliformes; Cichlidae
Exons: 4
Source: RefSeq, a predicted model, not a curated record